This 25-nucleotide non-coding RNA is filed under the name Drosophila melanogaster (fruit fly). The record is from RNAcentral. Lineage: Eukaryota; Metazoa; Arthropoda; Insecta; Diptera; Drosophilidae.
GAGUAAAUUAAAUCAUAUACAUAUG